RNAcentral lists this ribosomal RNA (269 nucleotides) under uncultured bacterium. RNAcentral describes it as "partial 16S ribosomal RNA". It matches the Rfam family "Bacterial small subunit ribosomal RNA", at positions 1223 to 1500 of the family's 1533-position model. The record is from RNAcentral.
UGUUACAAUGGGGGGUACGGAGGGCCGCUACCACGCGAGUGGAUGCCAAUCCCCAAAACCUCUCUCAGUUCGGACUGGAGUCUGCAACCCGACUCCACGAAGCUGGAUUCGCUAGUAAUCGCGCAUCAGCCACGGCGCGGUGAAUACGUUCCCGGGCCUUGUACACACCGCCCGUCAAGCCAUGGGAGCCGGGGGUACCUGAAGUGCGUAACCGCGAGGAGCGCCCUAGGGUAAAACUGGUGACUGGGGCUAAGUCGUAACAAGGUAUC